RNAcentral lists this transfer RNA (82 nucleotides) under bacterium. Its description in RNAcentral is "tRNA-Leu". It matches the Rfam family "tRNA". Rfam says of the family: Transfer RNA (tRNA) molecules are approximately 80 nucleotides in length. The record is from RNAcentral. RNAcentral also lists the same sequence under 1 other name.
GGGCAGGUGGCGGAAUUGGUAUACGCGUACGUUUGAGGGGCGUAUGGGGAAACCCGUGCGGGUUCAAGUCCCGCCCUGCCCA